UCCGCUGCGUCUCACUGUCAUGCGCAGCGGUGGCACUGCCAUGUUGGAUCGAAAGCUCGGUGCACAGGAGUUCAGAUGAAAGUUUAGAGGCUCAAGACGACACUGGAUAACCAUACGAGGAUCGCUUCUUAUUUGUGAGACGCAGGACUUCUCUCAACCAAUUCCCGGCCGAAACACACUCAGGUCUGGAUAUGAAAGGCUCCGGAUACAAGCUGCGGUGAUCAAAGAUCAAUGAACACAUAUUUUCUGUUUAACACUUCCUGAUCACAAGUUCACACCAUCGGAUUGUCAAAAUGAGUGGUCCGCCUUCAGCCAGGAGGCCUCCGAUGAACAUCGGCUCCAUUCUUCUCACACACCAAGAAAACGAAGUGCUCUUCAGCCAUCUGGGCAAGAAAUGCACCAGUUUGUGUUCAGGGGUGGUGCAAGUCUACGUCGCCGACAGGAACUCGUCCUGGGUGAAGAAGUGCUGUGGUGUGGCAUGUCUGGUGAAAGACAGCCCUCUAAGAUCUUACUUUAUCAGGGUGUUUGAUAUAAAAGAGGGUAAAGUGUUGUUUGAUCAAGAACUCUACAACAACUUUUCAAUAAACAGCUCCAGGCCUUACUUUAUCACGUUUGCUGGAGACACGUCCCAGAUCGGUCUUAAUUUUGCCAGCGAGGAGGAAGCCAAGCGCUUCAAGUCUGCAGCAAAUGAACUUCUGGUGAAAAGAGGGAGGAGAACCGAAAAAAGACGUGACCCUCCUAAUGGACCUUCAGGACUUUUAGGACCAACACUUCCAAUGGCAACGGUGGACAUAAAGAACCCCGAGAUCAACAACCAGCGCUAUCAAAAUAACACUCAAAUGAACAACAUCAACCUCCACGCCAACUUCAACAAGAAAGACAAAGCCAAAGGCAAAAACAACAACAAGAAGAAGAAAAUAUCCAAAGCUGAAAUUGGCACUCCGAGCAAUUUUCGGCAUGUUGGGCAUGUAGGAUGGGAUCCCAACACGGGUUUUGAUUUGAAUAACCUGGACCCAGACCUAAAGAACCUGUUUGACAUGUGUGGCAUUUCUGAGGACGAGCUCAAAGACAAAGAGACGUCAAAGGUCAUCUACGACUUCAUUGAGAAGAAAGGAGGAGUAGAGGCUGUGAAGAGUGAACUUCGACGACAAGCACCUCCACCUCCACCUCCACCAUCCAGAGCAGGACUUCCACCUCCUCCACCCCCCCAUAACUCUGGCCCUCCUCCCCCCCCUCCUCCCUCCAGAGGUCGAGGAGCUCCACCUCCACCCCCACCAUCCAGAGCCCCCACCUCAGCUCCCCCCCCUCCUCCACCCUUCCGGCCUGGCGUUGGUGCACCACCUCCCCCCCCCAGCAGAGGUCACGGGUCAGCUCCUCCACCUCCCCAACCCGCCUCCCUGUCUCCACCGGCCCCUCCACCCCUCCGCCAUCAUCUUCAGGUGGAGCUCCACCUCCUCCUCCCCCUCCUCCUCCUCCGGGCCCGCCUCCUCCCGCGCCUCCUCCACUAACGGAGGUUAAUUCAGGGGAUCUGCCGAGGGAAAAUCUGCACUCCUGGACCAGAUUCGAGGAGGAGCGCAGCUGAAGAAGGUGGAGCCGAACAGCAAGCCGGCCGUGUCCACUGGAGGCCGUGGCGCUCUCUUAGACCAAAUACGACUCGGCGUUCAUCUUAAAAAUGUACCGGACUCUAGCGAAUCGGCUCCGGCCUCUCCG
Pimephales promelas (fathead minnow) is the source of this 1710-nucleotide non-coding RNA. The record is from RefSeq and is a predicted model, not a curated record. Lineage: Eukaryota; Metazoa; Chordata; Actinopteri; Cypriniformes; Leuciscidae.